Molecule: ribosomal RNA, 429 nt
Filed under: Chloroflexota bacterium
Lineage: Bacteria; Bacillati; Chloroflexota
Description: Chloroflexi bacterium partial 16S ribosomal RNA
Rfam family: Bacterial small subunit ribosomal RNA
Source: RNAcentral
UGGGGAAUAUUGCACAAUGGGCGCAAGCCUGAUGCAGCCAUGCCGCGUGUGUGAAGAAGGCCUUCGGGUUGUAAAGCACUUUCAGCGGGGAGGAAGGCGGUGAGGUUAAUAACCUCAUCGAUUGACGUUACCCGCAGAAGAAGCACCGGCUAACUCCGUGCCAGCAGCCGCGGUAAUACGGAGGGUGCAAGCGUUAAUCGGAAUUACUGGGCGUAAAGCGCACGCAGGCGGUCUGUCAAGUCGGAUGUGAAAUCCCCGGGCUCAACCGGGGAACUGCAUUCGAAACUGGCAGGCUAGAGUCUUGUAGAGCGGGGUAGAAUUCCAGGUGUAGCGGUGAAAUGCGGAGAGAUCUGGAGGAAGACCGGUGGCGAAGGCGGCCCCCUGGACAAAGACUGACGCACAGGUGCGAAAGCGUGGGGAGCAAACAGG